AGUUUUAUAUUCUAUUUAAUAAAGAAAUUAAGUUGCAAACUUAAAAAAAUAAUUUUAAUUAAUUAUUAAGACUU
This 74-nucleotide transfer RNA is filed under the name Hydropsyche simulans. RNAcentral describes it as "tRNA-Cys". Lineage: Eukaryota; Metazoa; Arthropoda; Insecta; Trichoptera; Hydropsychidae. The record is from RNAcentral.